GUGGGUGGGCACCAUCCAAUCUGCUGCCAGCACAGCCAGAACACAGUAGGCGGAAGAAGGUGGGAUAGGCUGGCUUGAUGAGCCUUCUGACUUUCACCUUUCUCCCCUGCUGGAUGCAUCCAUCCAUCUCUCCCUCCUGCCUUCAGACAUCAGACUCCAGCUUCUUUGGCCUUUGGACUCUUAGACUUACACUAGUGGUUUGCUGGGGGCUUUCCGGCCUUUGGCCACAGACUGAAGGCUGCAUCGUCAGCUUCCCUACCUUUGAAGAUUUUGGACUUUGACUGAGUCACUAUUGGCUUCUUUCUUCCUCAGCUUGCAGACGGCCUAUCAUGGGACUUCACCUUGUGAUCAACCUAUUUUGGCAGGUAUACAACUUCUCCUGCAGGCUUCCUGGAUUGAUAUGACUGACUCUGGGAUUUCAAUCAAGUGGUGCUGGAGUAGAGUCACAUGACUGCUUGCUGGUCUGUGAGCCUGUUACCAGAUAUCUUUUCUGCCACAUCAAGGUGGAUGGAGUGACUUUCCAUCAAGUGCGUGGGACUGCUUACUACCAGAGGAGAAGGACUGAGGUGUUCUAUCUCUUUCCGGCACAAAUCAUCACUUCACAUAUCCCUUCUAGACAGCAGCUGUAUGAUAGCAUGAUACUUUUUUCUACUUGUUCUGAAGUGUGAACCGGAAAGAGCAGAAAGUGUUAGCCAGAGAAAAGACAUCCCUCUGUGAGGCCAGUAAAUUCUUUAAAGUUGUAUGAUCUCCAUUACCAUGAUAACAAAUUACUCAAGGCUCUUUGGCUAGGCCCAUAUGGCAUUUACUAUCUCCUCUGUAAUUUCAGCCAUAAAACUGUGAAAUUGCUCUAACUUCUAGGCAGCUUUCAACAUUUCUGUUAUUCCUUCUACUACUUACAAAGACUUCCUACUUUUUGCUGCUUGUAUCACAAUUUAAUUUUUUUUUUUUCAAUUCUAAGCCUUACAGUUGAAGGGAAAUUGCAUAGCUUUUUAGCUGUAAUUCAAGAGGUAAGUGUGUCCAGGGCUGAUCUUACAAAUUAAUCCUGAUUUGAUGUUGUUUACAGAUAGCUUUUUCUUAAAAAUGACAAAGAUAUUUCCUGUGCAAGAUAUGUUAAUAUGUAAUUAUCAUGGAAUAUGUAACCAUCAAAUCAGGUAUUGCUCUGUUUUCCCAAGUAAGUAAACUAAUACCUUUGAAUUGAUCCUACAUUCUGGCACACACACACACACAAAAGUAAACAUUUAACAUAUAGUAGAUGUGUUUUAGUUCAUGAUUUUGCGGUGCUAUGAAAGCAAAAGGAAUUUGAGACAUAUUCAGGUAACCUGAUUAAAAAAUGAUAAAUUGAUCAAUUACAUAUUAAAAGCUAUUAAGUCCCCAAGAAAUAUCAGCUAUUAAAAUAUAAGCUAAUACUUCAGAGGUCACCACAGAAGCUAAAAGCAAUGCCUUUGCUAGUUUAUUUGGUAAACAAGCAGCUCUUGCUAUCCAACCCAUGGAGGUGCUAUUAAGUUUACAUCUAUCUUAUUAAGCAUUCAGAAAGAUAAUUGACUCAAUUUAGGUAAUUAUAAUUGUUUACAACUUAGCUAUUCUAUUUAAACUUUGCAACCAAAGCAUAAGUAGUAGUAUUAUUUUCUCUCAUUUUACAGAUGAGAAAUCCGAGGCUCAAAUGUAACGAGUUUCUUCAGGGGAGCCAGGGUACAAACCCAGGUCCUUUUGACGUUUAAGUCAAUAUGCUUAACCACUACUACAGUAUAUUGCCAAAGGUUUUCUCUACUCUUUAGAGCAGCCAUUCUUUUUCUGUUUAAUAUUUUUUUUACUGUCUCAUGCAAUUUCCCUUCAAAAUUGCCUUGCCUUUUUUUUUUUAAUCUUUCUGGAACAAAUCUUUUCUGAAAAUGUGUGAUGUAUUUCCCACUCCCUCCUCUCCUUGCCAUUUUCCCCAAUUUUAAAAAAUUGAGCUAAAUUGUAUGUAACAUAAAGUGUACCAUCUUAACCAUUUUAAAAUAUACAGUUAAGUGGCAUUAAAUACAUUUCUAGUGUUGUGCAACCAUCAUUGCUAUUCAUCUCUGUAACUCUUUUCAUCUUGUAAAACUGAUAUUCUAUCUAUUAAACAGCAACUUCCUUUUCUUCCCUCUCCCCAGCCCCUGGCAAUCAGCAUUCUACUUUCUGUCUUUAUGAUUUUGGCUGCUGUAACUUCCUUGUGUAAAUGAAAUCAUACAAUAUUUGUCUUUUAAUGACUGGUUUAU
This 2237-nucleotide long non-coding RNA is filed under the name Homo sapiens (human). RNAcentral describes it as "HSALNT0376746". Lineage: Eukaryota; Metazoa; Chordata; Mammalia; Primates; Hominidae. The record is from RNAcentral.